RNAcentral lists this unclassified non-coding RNA (463 nucleotides) under Hevea brasiliensis (rubber tree). The record is from RNAcentral. Lineage: Eukaryota; Viridiplantae; Streptophyta; Magnoliopsida; Malpighiales; Euphorbiaceae.
AUUUGGAACUGUUCUGGCCUCUUGCAAGUAAACUGACUGAUUAAUGUGACGAAAUGGGAUAACACCAUUCCCUCCAGAGAUUGGUGUAGAUGAGCCAGAUGUGUUGAGAGGGCUGGAUAUAGGCGAGGGAGACAUCCUCCCAUUUAGGUUAUGAGGCGACCUUGGAAGAGGACUACCUAUUGGGGAGACGGGGCAAGAUAUGUUCUUCGGAAUGUGGAUAUCACUGCAGUGAAAUUUAGAUUUUGACGCUCUGGAUGAGUGGAUAGCGAGCCUUUCUGAAUCUGGGGUAGGAUAAUUUCUUGCAGAUCCAGUGCCCAGAAGUUUUAUCCCACUUGCAGCAACACAUGGAAGAUCGAAAGAUGUAGGAAACAUAUUUUGCUUUUCCAGAGGGGCAGCAUCUUUUACAAAAGGAUGCUCCAAUAGCUCAGCAGCAGUAGGACGAUUUCGCGGCUCACGCUGCAAA